CAAAAACAUCUUUUCUUGUUAGUUUUUGAAGUAUGGCCUGCCCACUGACUUUAGGUUGAAGGGCCGCGGUAUUUUGACCGUGCAAAGGUAGCAUAAUCAUUAGUUCUUUAAUUGUGAUCUGGUAUGAAUGGCUUGACGAGACAUAAGCUCUCUUAUGGGGAUUAUUUGUUGAAUUUGGAUUUUGAGUUAAAAUUCUUAGAUGUUUUUAUGGGACGAGAAGACCCUAUAGAGUUUGACAUUCACCUUACUUUUAUAUUAGUUGUUUGUUUUAUUUUUUAAUUAGGUUUGAGUGUUUUGUUGGGGUGAUGGGAGGAAUGUUUUUAACUCCUCUUUAUUUAUUGUAUAUUGAUUUAUAUUGUUGAUCCAUUUAUUUUGAUUAUAAGAUUAAAUUACCUU
RNAcentral lists this ribosomal RNA (396 nucleotides) under Curvitermes odontognathus. RNAcentral's name for it is "partial 16S ribosomal RNA". The record is from RNAcentral. Lineage: Eukaryota; Metazoa; Arthropoda; Insecta; Blattodea; Termitidae.